UCCUUUUGCAUAAUGGUCUACACAAGAGCGCCAGGGAAUUACGAGCGCAAGCUUAAAAUUCAAAGGAUUUGACGGUAUCCCACCCACCUAGAGGAGCCUGUUCUAUAAUCGAUAAUCCUCGAUACACCCGACCAUUUCUUGCUUUCUCAGCCUGUAUACCUCCGUCGUAAACCUACCAUUUGAGUGUAAUAAAGUAGGUUCAAGGAUCCCCCAUCAACACGUCAGGUCAAGGUGCAGCCAAUGUAAUGGAAAGUAAUGGGCUACAAUUUCUAUGAUAGAACAAACGAAAUACUGUAUGAAAAACAGUCAUGAAGGCGGAUUUAGUAGUAAAAGGGGAAUAGAGAGCCCCUUUUAACAAGGCCCUGGGAUGUGUACAAACCGCCCGUCACCCUCUUCGAUAGCAAAAUUUAAGUUUCUAACCCAUCAAUGCACUCUAGAAGAGGCAAGUCGUAACAUGGUAAGUGUACUGGAAAGUGCACUUGGUAAAC
This 488-nucleotide ribosomal RNA is filed under the name Mantella laevigata. RNAcentral describes it as "partial 12S ribosomal RNA". It matches the Rfam family "Bacterial small subunit ribosomal RNA", at positions 836 to 1526 of the family's 1533-position model. Lineage: Eukaryota; Metazoa; Chordata; Amphibia; Anura; Mantellidae. The record is from RNAcentral.